UGAACGCUGGCGGCAUGCUUUACACAUGCAAGUCGGACGGCAGCACAGAGAAGCUUGCUUCUCGGGUGGCGAGUGGCGAACGGGUGAGUAACAUAUCGGAACGUACCGAGUAGUGGGGGAUAACUGAUCGAAAGAUCAGCUAAUACCGCAUACGUCUUGAGAGAGAAAGCAGGGGACCUUCGGGUCUUGCGCUAUUCGAGCGGCCGAUAUCUGAUUAGCUAGUUGGUGGGGUAAAGGCUCACCAAGGCGACGAUCAGUAGCGGGUCUGAGAGGAUGAUCCGCCACACUGGGACUGAGACACGGCCCAGACUCCUACGGGAGGCAGCAGUGGGGAAUUUUGGACAAUGGGCGCAAGCCUGAUCCAGCCAUGCCGCGUGUCUGAAGAAGGCCUUCGGGUUGUAAAGGACUUUUGUCAGGGAAGAAAAGGCUGUUGCUAAUACCAGCGGCUGAUGACGGUACCUGAAGAAUAAGCACCGGCUAAC
Molecule: ribosomal RNA, 482 nt
Filed under: uncultured Neisseria sp.
Lineage: Bacteria; Pseudomonadati; Pseudomonadota; Betaproteobacteria; Neisseriales; Neisseriaceae
Description: bacterial SSU rRNA
Rfam family: Bacterial small subunit ribosomal RNA
Source: RNAcentral